RNAcentral lists this ribosomal RNA (497 nucleotides) under uncultured bacterium. RNAcentral describes it as "partial 16S ribosomal RNA". It matches the Rfam family "Bacterial small subunit ribosomal RNA", at positions 28 to 507 of the family's 1533-position model. The record is from RNAcentral.
GAUGAACGCUGGCGGCGUGCCUAAUACAUGCGAGUCGAGCGAACAGACGAGGAGCUUGCUCCUCUGACGUUAGCGGCGGACGGGUGAGUAACACGUGGAUAACCUACCUAUAAGACUGGGAUAACUUCGGGAAACCGGAGCUAAUACCGGAUAAUAUAUUGAACCGCAUGGUUCAAUAGUGAAAGACGGUUUUGCUGUCACUUAUAGAUGGAUCCGCGCCGCAUUAGCUAGUUGGUAAGGUAACGGCUUACCAAGGCAACGAUGCGUAGCCGACCUGAGAGGGUGAUCGGCCACACUGGAACUGAGACACGGUCCAGACUCCUACGGGAGGCAGCAGUGGGGAAUCUUCCGCAAUGGGCGAAAGCCUGACGGAGCAACGCCGCGUGAGUGAUGAAGGUCUUCGGAUCGUAAAACUCUGUUGUUAGGGAAGAACAAAUGUGUAAGUAACUAUGCACGUCUUGACGGUACCUAAUCAGAAAGCCACGGCUAACUACGUG